Molecule: unclassified non-coding RNA, 261 nt
Filed under: uncultured Entrophospora
Lineage: Eukaryota; Fungi; Glomeromycota; Glomeromycetes; Entrophosporales; Entrophosporaceae
Description: uncultured Claroideoglomus sequence contains 18S rRNA gene
Rfam family: Eukaryotic small subunit ribosomal RNA
Source: RNAcentral
AGCAGCCGCGGUAAUUCCAGCUCCAAUAGCGUAUAUUAAAGUUGUUGCAGUUAAAAGCUCGUAGUUGAAUUUCGGGAUCAAUUAAUCGGUCGUGCCUCUGGUACGCACUGGUUUUAUUGGUUUCUCCCUUCUGACGAACCAGGAUGUCAUUAAUUUGGUGUCUUGGAGAAUCAGGACUGUUACUUUGAAAAAUUGAGUGUUUAAAGCAGGCUAACGCUUGAAUACAUUAGCAUGGAAUAAUGAAAUAGGACGUUUGAUCCU